This 205-nucleotide unclassified non-coding RNA is filed under the name uncultured fungus. Its description in RNAcentral is "sequence contains ITS1, 5.8S rRNA gene". The record is from RNAcentral. Lineage: Eukaryota; Fungi.
UUAAAUAUUUUAUAGUACUCAGACAUCACUAAACACAGAGUUUGGGGCCUCUGGCAGGCGCUGGUCAGCCGGAGCCGACGCCCGAAGGCGGCCUGCCAAAGCAACAAAGGUAGAUAGACACGGUUUUGGGUAUUGAACCCAUUUUAAGCCUUGCGGCAAAAACGGGGCGUUAUUAAUGAUCCUUCCGCAGGUUCACCUACGGAAA